UUUGGUUCAUCUAAAGAUAUCCUUGUUUGUUCAUUCACGAUCCUCGUCGCAUCGUUAUCUUCGGUUUGUCGGACAGCUAUCUCCUCCUCUGAUGAAUCUGAAGACCCUGCCCCCAUCAUUGUCUUCACCAAAUUCUUAUGAUCGAUUGAGUACUCCUACAGAGAAGACGUAGAGAAGAUGAAGACAUUUUCCUAUGGUUGAGAAUAAAAAGAGGUAUAGUGGACUCCUAAAAAAGAAAAAACAAAAAAGACGUAUGCUGGCAGAAUUGUAAAUGAGAUUGUGAUUCCUCUUAUUAAUGAUUUGUAAUUAGCAUUAAUUAAGGUUAAUUUUGGUAAAAAAAUUAUAUUAUUAAUUUAUGUGCAAAA
Molecule: long non-coding RNA, 365 nt
Organism: Salvia miltiorrhiza (redroot sage)
Lineage: Eukaryota; Viridiplantae; Streptophyta; Magnoliopsida; Lamiales; Lamiaceae
Exons: 2
Source: RefSeq, a predicted model, not a curated record